UACGAGAGGCCCAAACGUUAUUCGGAAUCACUGGGCUUAAAGAGUUCGUAGGCGGCGCGGAAAGUGGGGUGUGAAAGCCCUCGGCUCAACCGAGGAAUUGCGCUCCAAACUGUCGCGCUUGAGGAAGCUAGAGGUAAGCAGAACUGAUGGUGGAGCGGUGAAAUGCGUUGAUAUCAUCAGGAAUACCGGAGGCGAAGGCGGCUUACUGGGACUUUUCUGACGCUGAGGAACGAAAGCUAGGGGAGCAAACGGG
Molecule: ribosomal RNA, 253 nt
Filed under: uncultured bacterium
Lineage: Bacteria
Also listed under: 1 other name
Description: partial 16S ribosomal RNA
Rfam family: Bacterial small subunit ribosomal RNA
Source: RNAcentral